RNAcentral lists this ribosomal RNA (307 nucleotides) under uncultured bacterium. Its description in RNAcentral is "bacterial SSU rRNA". It matches the Rfam family "Bacterial small subunit ribosomal RNA", at positions 30 to 320 of the family's 1533-position model. The record is from RNAcentral.
AUUGAACGCUGGCGGCAUGCUUUACACAUGCAAGUCGAACGGCAGCACGGGGGCAACCCUGGUGGCGAGUGGCGAACGGGUGAGUAACACAUCGGAACGUGUCCUUUUGUGGGGGAUAACCAGUCGAAAGACUGGCUAAUACCGCAUAAGCUGGAGACAGGAAAGCGGGGGACCUAGGAAAGGCCUCGUGCGUAGUUGGAGGCCGGCCGAUCGUCCGUAAUUAGCUAGGUUGGGUAAGGGGAAACGGCCUAACCGAAGGCGACGAGUCGGUAGCUGGUCUGAGAGGAUGAUCAGCCACACGUGGGAC